This 73-nucleotide transfer RNA is filed under the name Paramuricea clavata. It matches the Rfam family "tRNA". From Rfam's summary of the family: Transfer RNA (tRNA) molecules are approximately 80 nucleotides in length. Their secondary structure includes four short double-helical elements and three loops (D, anti-codon, and T loops). Further hydrogen bonds mediate the characteristic L-shaped molecular structure. tRNAs have two regions of fundamental functional importance: the anti-codon, which is responsible for specific mRNA codon recognition, and the 3' end, to which the tRNAs corresponding amino acid is attached (by aminoacyl-tRNA synthetases). tRNAs cope with the degeneracy of the genetic code in two manners: having more than one tRNA (with a specific anti-codon) for a particular amino acid; and 'wobble' base-pairing, i.e. permitting non-standard base-pairing at the 3rd anti-codon position. Lineage: Eukaryota; Metazoa; Cnidaria; Anthozoa; Malacalcyonacea; Plexauridae. The record is from Rfam by way of RNAcentral.
GCCUUCGCGGUCUAAUGGAUAAGGCGUCGGCCUCCUAAGCCGAGGAUUGCGGGUUCGAGUCUCGUCGGAGGUA